RNAcentral lists this transfer RNA (77 nucleotides) under Acholeplasmataceae bacterium. RNAcentral's name for it is "tRNA-Arg". It matches the Rfam family "tRNA". From Rfam's summary of the family: Transfer RNA (tRNA) molecules are approximately 80 nucleotides in length. Their secondary structure includes four short double-helical elements and three loops (D, anti-codon, and T loops). The record is from RNAcentral. Lineage: Bacteria; Bacillati; Mycoplasmatota; Mollicutes; Acholeplasmatales; Acholeplasmataceae.
GCGCCUAUAACUCAACUGGAUAGAGUAUCUGACUUCGAAUCAGAAGGUUACGAGUUCGAAUCUUGUUAGGCGUACCA